RNAcentral lists this ribosomal RNA (254 nucleotides) under uncultured bacterium. Its description in RNAcentral is "partial 16S ribosomal RNA". It matches the Rfam family "Bacterial small subunit ribosomal RNA", at positions 524 to 776 of the family's 1533-position model. The record is from RNAcentral.
UACGGGGGGAGCAAGCGUUGUUCGGAUUUACUGGGCGUAAAGGGCGCGUAGGCGGCCACCGCAAGUCGACUGUGAAAUCUCCGGGCUUAACCCGGAAAGGUCAGCCGAUACUGCGGGGCUAGAGUGCAGAAGGGGCAACUGGAAUUCUCGGUGUAGCGGUGAAAUGCGUAGAUAUCGAGAGGAACACCAGUGGCGAAGGCGAGUCUCUGGGAUGAUGCUGACGCUGAGGCGCGAAAGCCAGGGGAGCAAACGGG